This 497-nucleotide ribosomal RNA is filed under the name uncultured bacterium. Its description in RNAcentral is "partial 16S ribosomal RNA". It matches the Rfam family "Bacterial small subunit ribosomal RNA", at positions 28 to 507 of the family's 1533-position model. The record is from RNAcentral.
GAUGAACGCUGGCGGCAUGCCUAAUACAUGCAAGUCGAGCGACAGGACGGUAAGAUCUCGCUCUUGCUGUUGGCGAGUGACGGGCGGGUAAGGCGUGCAUCAGCUUCUACUUUGUCUUGGGUAACAUCGGGAGACAGGAGAUAAUACUGCAGCAUACUUUGAACAGCAUGGUUCAAAAGUGAUAGACGGCUUUGCCGUCACUUAUAGCUGGUUCCGCGCUGCAUUAGCUAGUUGGUAAGGUAACGGCUUACCAAGGCAACGAUGCAUAGCCGACCUGAGAGGGUGAUCGGCCACACUGGAACUGAGACACGGUCCAGACUCCUACGGGAGGCAGCAGUAGGGAAUCUUCCGCAAUGGGCGAAAGCCUGACGGAGCAACGCCGCGUGAGUGAUGAAGGUCUUCGGAUCGUAAAACUCUGUUAUUAGGGAAGAACAUAUGUGUAAGUAACUGUGCACAUCUUGACGGUACCUAAUCAGAAAGCCACGGCUAACUACGUG